AUUGAACGCUGGCGGCAGGCCUAACACAUGCAAGUCGAGCGAGCGGCGGACGGGUGAGUAAUGUAUGGGGACUGCCCGAUAGAGGGGGAUAACUACUGGAAACGGUGGCUAAUACCGCAUACUAUCGGAAAACCCAUAUGGGAUUAGCUAGUAGGUGGGGUAAAGGCUAACCUAGGCGACGAUCUCUAGCCGGUCUGAGAGGAUGAUCAGCCAAACUGUGACUGAGACACGGCCCAGAAGCCUACGGAGGCAGCAGUGGGGAAUAUUGCCUAAUGGGCGCAAGCCUGAUGCAGCCAUGCCGCGUGUAUGAAGAAGGCCUUAGGGUUGUAAAGUACUGUCAGCGGGGAGGCGUUACCCGCAGAAGAAGCACCGGCUAACUCCGUGCCAGCAGCCGCGGUAAUAC
Molecule: ribosomal RNA, 403 nt
Filed under: uncultured bacterium
Lineage: Bacteria
Description: partial 16S ribosomal RNA
Rfam family: Bacterial small subunit ribosomal RNA
Source: RNAcentral